UACGAAGGGGGCUAGCGUUGCUCGGAAUCACUGGGCGUAAAGCGCACGUAGGCGGAUCGCUAAGUCAGGGGUGAAAUCCUGGAGCUCAACUCCAGAACUGCCUUUGAUACUGGCAAUCUUGAGUCCGGGAGAGGUGAGUGGAACUGCGAGUGUAGAGGUGAAAUUCGUAGAUAUUCGCAAGAACACCAGUGGCGAAGGCGGCUCACUGGCCCGGUACUGACGCUGAGGUGCGAAAGCGUGGGGAGCAAACAGG
This 253-nucleotide ribosomal RNA is filed under the name uncultured bacterium. RNAcentral describes it as "partial 16S ribosomal RNA". It matches the Rfam family "Bacterial small subunit ribosomal RNA", at positions 524 to 776 of the family's 1533-position model. The record is from RNAcentral.